AAGGUGACAGCAGGGACAUUGAAAGUUUGGGCAAGGGAUGAUGCUGGUGGCCCCAGGGCUAUGAAAACUCUCCAGUAGUCAACUACUGGUUAUUGAAUAAAUGUAACCUUGGGAGCUGUACAAAACAUGCAUUAAAGCUUCACAGAAUUCAGGUAUACCCAGCAUAUGUAGACCACAACAUAUUAACAUCAGUAUCAUUGUCAUUCUAUGAAAAGACCUGGGAUACCUUGCUGAUAAAACUGUUAAGACUUCAAUUGUAUAAACAGUAAAGUUCUUCUUGACUUCACCUAUCAGGUCCUCCCUUUUUCUUCCACAAAAAGAUCAGGAGUGUAAUAAUUUGGUGGGACUUUGAGCCCACCAAAUUACUGAUUCAGUACAUCAGAUGCAAUGAAUUGGGCUCAGAUUCAGACAGUUUGAGGCUGUUAAGGGGUGAAUGACUGGAAGAAAGAAAAAUUGCAGCAAUGCACCAUCACAUGUUAAAAGGAAGAAAAGUAAUAACUCUUUCAAGAAAUCACUUUAUUGCUUAUAUAAAUAUAUUUCAAAUAAUUUUUAUAAUCUCCAUAUAUUAAGGGAGACGACAUUGUUAUAUAGUGUGUCAAAGUAAAAAAAAAUACCCUUUUUUUCAAGAUUUGGAGAACAGAAGAACAUCUGGCCUAAUAACAACAUUCAAAACUGAGAUACAAAUGAUGAAGUAGUCUAUAAGAAAGGGAGAGAUGAUAAUAUAAUUCAUGUCAUUUCGCUGACAGUCAGCUUCAUAGACUGCUCUGCCAAUCACCAAGAAUAGCAACAGUCAUCUAGCAAGGAGAACUGAUUACAGGCAGUGAAAGAUAAGGACAAAGGGUUUGUUCCUUUGCUGGGAUUCCUGACUCAAAUGCUGAAUAUUUAUGUUAACUCAUCUCUAAAGUUCACUGUCCUAGUUUAGGGCAAAUUUGGGGAAAACCCAGGAAAUAAACCCCCACGGCCCCUCUCCACCCACCUGGUUCAGGGAAAAAUUCCCUCUGAGAGAGAAGUGGAAAAGAACCUGUUUAUUCAAUGAACAAAGCACUCCCCAGCACCAAAACAAUUAACAACACAAGAUGACAACAAAACUCUUUCACCCCUCUGAAGAGCUGAACAAAUCCAGAAGGUCUUUCCUGGGAGUGGUCGCCUGGGUCUGGACGCUGGGGAUGGCUGCUGCAGAUCUCCAAAUGCAGGCUCCUGGUGUUCUUUGGUGUUUCCCAGAUCCCAGUCCAGAGCAGGCUGGAUGAUAGUCAGAAAGAGGAAGGGAAAAAAAGCAACAGUCCAGGGAAAGAAUUGGACUGCUUAACCUAACUAGGAAGCAAAGCAAGAAAGCAGGCAAAGCAAGCAAGCCAAGCAAGCAAGCAAGCAAAGCAAGCAAGCCAAGCAAGCAAGCAAAGCAAAGCCAGCCAGCCAGCCCUAGCCUUUUCUAGCUUUCCAGCAGACAUGGGGGGAGGUGAACCAGAUGAUAACACAGCAAAACAAACCUUCACUUUCAGAGUCAGUUCUGAAAGCACAGAACAUAAUAUCAAACGUAAACAGAACACACGAUUGGAGAUACAAACACCAUAACAGUCACCCUAGGACAUUCCACCCCUUAUCUCCAUAUCUUCAACAUCAUGUAAAAACUCCAUCAAGUUAAAACUUGUAUCUUUCACUUACUCAUACCUUCUUUCUCAUGUCUGUGUGUUUUCAUGCACAGACAUUGACAGUAACAUCCAGCAAACAGUGAUAUUUGCACAAUAGUUUCACCCCACAAUCAGAUCUCCCUGAGGUACACAUCGUGUUGUUCCAUCUCUCUGCAUUAUCCAUCAUGUACAACCUGGUCCCUGAGCAAAGACAAUCCCACGAAUGGGUUUGUCUGUACUCGAGGCAGGAUUGAUCCACACUGAUUUCCCUAACAAACCUCUGACAUGUGCCACUGGGACUUUAUCUCCGUCUACUAUAUUCAGGGGCUCAGACUGGGCAGGACCUGCUCGAUUGGUGGAACCUCGGCUGUUAACUAACCAGGUGGCCUUUGCUAAAUGUUGCUCCCAAUUUUUGAAAGAUCCCCCACCCAAUGCUUUUAAGGUGGUUUUUAACAGUCCAUUGUACCUCUCCACUUUGCCUGCAGCUGGUGCAUGGUAGGGGAUGUGGUACACCCACUCAAUGCCAUGUUCCCUAGCCCAGGUGUUGAUAAGGCUGUUCUUGAAAUGAGUCCCAUUGUCUGACUCAAUCCUCUCAGGGGUACCAUGCCUCCAAAGGACCUGCUUUUCAAGGCCCAGGAUGGUGUUACGGGCUGUAGCAUGAGACACAGGGUAGGUUUCCAACCAUCCAGUGGUGGCUUCUACCAUUGUGAGCACGUAGCGCUUGCCUUGGCGUGUCUGGGGCAGUGUGAUGUAGUCAAUCUGCCAGGCCUCCCCAUACUUGUACUUGGACCACCGCCCACCAUACCACAGGGGCUUCACCCGCUUGGCCUGUUUGAUGGUAGCGCAUGUCUCACAGUCAUGGAUAACCUGAGAAAUACUGUCCAUGGUUAGAUCCACCCCUCGGUCUCGUGCCCACUUAUAAGUGGCAUCUCUACCCUGAUGGCCUGAGGCAUCAUGGGCCCAUCGUGCUAGGAACAACUCUCCCUUGUGUUCCCAGUCGAGGUCUAUCUUUGAUACCCCUAUCUUCGCAGCCUGAUCUACCUGCUGAUUGUUUUGCUGCUCUUCAUUAGCUCUGCUUCUGGGGACAUGGGCAUCUACAUGGCGAACCUUCACAAGUAGCUUCUCUACCCGGGUAGCGAUAUCUUUCCACUCUUCAGCAGCCCAAAUUGGUUUUCCUCUACGCUGCCAGUUAGCUUCUUUCCACCUCUCCAGCCACCCCCACAGAGCAUUGGCUACCAUCCAUGAAUCAGUGUAGAGGUAUAGCUUUGGCCACUUCUCCCUUUCUGCAAUGUCUAGGGCCAGUUGAACGGCUUUGAGUUCAGCAAACUGGCUUGAUCCACCUUCUCCUUCAGUGGCCUCUGCAACCCGUCGUGUGGGACUCCAUACAGCUGCUUUCCACUUCCGAUUCAUCCCUACGAUGCGACAGGAACCGUCAGUGAAGAGAGCAUAGCGUGUUUCCUCUGCUGGCAGUUGGUUAUAUGGUGGAGCUUCUUCAGCCCAUGUCACUGGUUCUUCUUCUUCAUCUGCGACACCAAAACUUUCACCUUCGGGCCAAUUUGUAAUUACUUCCAAAAUCCCAGGGCGAUUCAGCUUACCAAUAUGGACACGCUGCGUAAUGAGAGCAAUCUACUUGCUCCAUGUAGCACUGGUGGCAUGGUGGGUGGAGGGAACCUUUCCUCUGAACAUCCACCCCAGCACCGGUAGUCGGGGUGCCAGGAGGAGUUGUGCUUCUGUGCCAAUCACCUCUGAGGCGGCCUGGACUCCCUCGUAGGCGGCCAAGAUUUCCUUCUCUGUUGGGGUGUAGUUGGCUUCAGACCCUCUGUAGCUCCGACUCCAAAAUCCCAGUGGUCGGCUCCGAGUCUCAUCAGGCACCUUCUGCCAAAGGCUCCAGGACAGACCAUGGUUCCCGGCUGCAGAGUAGAGCACGUUCUUCACAUCUGGUCCUGUCCUGACUGGGCCAAGAGCUACUGCAUGAGCAAUUUCCUGCUUUAUCUGGGUGAAAGCUUGCUGCUGCUCAGGGCCCCAGCAGAAAUCAUUCUUCUUGCGGGUGACCAGGUAGAGGGGACUCACGAUCUGACUGUACUCAGGAAUGUGCAUUCUCCAAAAACCAAUGGCGCCUAAGAAAGCUUGUGUCUCUUUCUUGUUGGUUGGUGGGGACAUGGCUGUGAUCUUGUUGAUGACUUCUGUAGGAAUCUGACGCCGUCCAUCUUGCCACUUCACUCCCAAGAACUGGAUCUCUCGAGCAGGUCCCUUCACUUUACUCUUCUUGAUGGCAAAACCAGCUUCCAGGAGGAUUCGGAUGAUUUUCUCUCCUUUCUCAAACACUUCUGCUGCUGUGUUCCCCCACACAAUGAUAUCAUCAAUAUAUUGUAGAUGUUCUGGAGCCUCACCCUUUUCUAGUGCAGUCUGGAUCAGUCCAUGGCAGAUGGUAGGACUGUGCUUCCACCCCUGGGGCAGUCGGUUCCAGGUAUAUUGCACUCCCCUCCAUGUAAAGGCAAACUGAGGCCUGCAUUCUGCUGCCAGAGGAAUGGAGAAAAAUGCAUUGGCAAUAUCAAUAGUGGCGUACCACUUCGCUGCCUUGGACUCCAGCUCGUACUGGAGUUCCAGCAUGUCUGGCACAGCAGCGCUCAGUGGUGGAGUCACUUCAUUCAAUGCACGGUAGUCCACAGUCAAUCUCCAUUCUCCUUCAGAUUUACGCACAGGCCAAAUGGGGCUGUUGAAGGGUGAGUGGGUUUUGCUGACCACCCCUUGGCUCUCCAGCUCUCGGAUCAUCUUAUGGAUGGGAACCACAGCAUCUCGAGUUGUUCUGUACUGUCGACGAUGCACUGUUGAAGUGGCAACUGGUACCUUUUGUUCUUCUCCCUUCAAAAGUCCUACUGUAGUUGGAUUCUCAGACAGUCCAGGCAAGGUGUUCAGUUGCUGGAUGCCCUCUGUCACUACAGCUGCUAUCCCAAAUGCCCACCUGAGUCCCUUUGGGUCUUUAAAAUAUCCCCUUCGAAGGUAAUCUAUGCCCAAAAUACAUGGGGCCUCUGGGCCAGUCACAAUAGGGUGUUUCUUCCACUCAUUUCCUGUCAGACUUACAUCAGCUUCCACCACAGUAAAGUCCUGAGAUCCACCUGUCACACCGGCAAUAGAGACAGAUUCUGCCCCUACGUGUCUUGAUGGAAUUAACGUGCAUUGUGCACCAGUAUCAACCAAAGCCUUAUAUCUUUGUGGGUCCGAUGUGCCAGGCCAGCGAAUCCACACAGUCCAGAAAACACGGUUUUCCCUCGCCUCUACCUGGCUAGAGGCAGGGCCCCUCUAAGCCUGGUUAUCCUUCUUGCCUUGGGCGUAUGUCUUAGAAGUUCCUUCAAGGGGAUCAGACAUGUCAUCAUCAUCAUCAUGCCUGGCAGUUUGGCUACGGGCAACUGGAGCUGCUCUCCUUUUGGUGGCACUUCCUCUCUGAAUCUUACCUUCCUUCAAUUCACGCACCCGUUGUGCCAGAGCACCAGUAGGUUUUCCGUCCCAUUUCCUCAUGUUUUCUCCGCAAUCGCGCAGGAAGAACCACAGCUCAGUUCGUGGGGUGUACCUUCUCUCACCAUCUGAGGAACGUCUACGUUGGAUACCAGAACCUCUGAUCUGUACUGCUGAGAUUUGGAGAAGGUCCUCCUUUAUUUCCUCCCUGAGUCUCUUAUGAUUCUCCUCUAUCUUAUCUUCUAAUUUCUGCAGACGUGUUUCCACUGCUGCAAUUCUGGCAUGGGUUGGGCCAUGUACAGCAUCUGCAUAUGCUCGGAGUUUCCUUGCCAUUUCGAGCACGGUCUCAUCCCUCUCAUCUUGCUUCAUUAUUGCUAAGGCAGAAGCGUAGUCAUGUGGCCCAAGCCGUACAAGUUUUCGCCACAUCACAGAUGUACAUGGUACCAAGUCUGGAUUCCUAGUUGUUAUUUCAUCUGAGAAGAUAAUCUCUGCCACUGCCAUUUCUCUCAGACGUUGGAUCCCUUGUUCUAUAGUCUUCCACUGGGUUUGCUGCAUAUAAAGAUCAUCUGCACACAGGUAUCUUUGUGCUACACUUUCCAGAAGUCGUGCCCAGAGGCUGUGAGGGUUAGCCCCCCUCAUCAUUCCUUGAUCAAUAACAGGAUCAUGUGACAGGGAUCCCAAAUGCCUUGCCUCAGUACCAUCCAGAAUUGUAGCCUCGCCUGCAGCAUCCCAAAGACGGACCAACCAACUAAUUACAGACUCAUCAGGUCGUCGGGUAUAAUCCUUCCUCAGGCCACGAAGGUCCUUUAGGGAAAAGGACUCAGUAUUGGCCUCUGAUCUUGUACCAGUUGCUUUGACUUCUGAUUUUAUGUCAGCAGGCAUUGAGGGUCCCUCUCCUGCAUUAUCAUCAUCAUCGUCAUCAUCCACUGGUCGAUUGGUCUUUUCUGUGCGCUUCCCACUUCUUGUGCUAGUAGCAACAGCCAUAGGUUGAGGCUUGGCUGCUGAGUCUGGUUUAGCUGCUAGCCUAGGCUCACUGUCUGGUUUAGCUGCUGGCUUUGAGCCGGAGGUGUUUGCUGCAGCCUGAGUGACUGGUAUAGCUGCUGAUUUAUCUCCCUGCCCCCCUUCCUCUGUCUGCUGCCCUACAGUAUCUAGCAGGGUGCGAUAAGCAUAUGCCAGGGCCCAGCUCACUGCAAUGAUUUUUUUCUCCUUAGAGUUAUCAUGGCACUUCUCUUUCAAGUACUUCGCCACCUCAGCCGGAUUCUGAAUUUGUUCACUAGGAAAGUCCCAGGCUAUAGGGUCAGAAAAUUCCUUUAAAAUUUGGCCCAUCUCCUCCCAUUUCCCACACCACUCAGGAUUUCUCACACCUGGGUCUACUCCUGGGUCAGAGGUCUCAUCAGCCCCUCUAGAAAUCUCAGCCCUCAUUCUAGAGAGACUGCAGACUGUAUAGAGAAAGCUUACCAGAUUAAACACCAGGAAGAUGGUCUCCUUAACAGUCAGGGGAAACUGAACAUUCUCUAAUAGGGAGGUAACACAUUCAGAGGAGAAGAAGGAAAGCAAAGGCUGAAAAGCCUCAUCCCCUACUUCCCCUCUAACAAACUGGCUGUACAACCAUAACCAUGAACCAUACAUUCCAGGAACAGACCUCAGCACCUUUAUAAACCCUCUGGAAGCUAUUACACCCAAGCACAGCACAAUGGAUAUUCUGGUCAGUGCCCUUCUACUGCAAAACCUACGUAUUAGGGACAAUACCGGAGCUAUUCCUGGAUAAAAAAAUAAACCUAGGGACCACAGGGGGAUUAAGAUCUCAAAAACCCCUAGGGACCAGAGACACAUGCAGGCCUUCACCCCAAGGGACAAUAUUAAUUCAAACAACAUAACCAGUAACUGCUCCAUACCCACACAAAAUAAUUGGAACAAAAAUAUGAUUACAACAGGGUUUUUUCCACUCUCUCGAGCCCCGAGUUGGGCGCCAAAAUAUUUGUCCUAGUUUAGGGCAAAUUUGGGGAAAACCCAGGAAAUAAACCCCCACGGCCCCUCUCCACCCACCUGGUUCAGGGAAAAAUUCCCUCUGAGAGAGAAGUGGAAAAGAACCUGUUUAUUCAAUGAACAAAGCACUCCCCAGCACCAAAACAAUUAACAACACAAGAUGACAACAAAACUCUUUCACCCCUCUGAAGAGCUGAACAAAUCCAGAAGGUCUUUCCUGGGAGUGGUCGCCUGGGUCUGGACGCUGGGGAUGGCUGCUGCAGAUCUCCAAAUGCAGGCUCCUGGUGUUCUUUGGUGUUUCCCAGAUCCCAGUCCAGAGCAGGCUGGAUGAUAGUCAGAAAGAGGAAGGGAAAAAAAAGCAACAGUCCAGGGAAAGAAUUGGACUGCUUAACCUAACUAG
This 7464-nucleotide long non-coding RNA is filed under the name Taeniopygia guttata (zebra finch). Its description in RNAcentral is "lncRNA (ENSTGUG00000028032.1)". The record is from RNAcentral. Lineage: Eukaryota; Metazoa; Chordata; Aves; Passeriformes; Estrildidae.